UACCAUCCAUAAGCAUUGCUGCGUCUAGGCGCAUGGGAUCCGGCCUAAGGGGCGCGAGGAUUGAGCUAGCGACCGUGGUACUCAUCAUCAGGUCGACGGCAACGCAUGCGAUCACAAACGACGACCUCGACGAACACAACACUAGACCUGGACGCUCUCUUGUCGCCGUAACGCCGAGCGGACGUACGGCCAAAGCUGAGGUGAUGAUCCAGGUGAGAUCUUGAUUAAUCAAAAAUAAAUGAAAUUCUAGUACAGAGAAGUUCUAUAGUGGCGGUUGUAAACCUAUUUAUAGUGGCGUUUUUCGUAACCGCCAGUGGUAGGGCCAGUAGAAAUCAUCAUUUUUACAGGCGGGUAACUGAGGACCGCCAGUGAAAAUCGAUUUUUUCUACUAGUGAAACUCUCACGACAACGAAACUUGCAAUCGAUCCUCCAUCAUCUCACUCUCAGGUGGACGAUCAAACACGGCAGGGCACACCAAUAAUGUUACAGCACACUAGAUAUCGCGAAGGCGAAUGCAUGCAGCAUGCAUGAGCUAAUCGAUCUCAGGCCGACGUCUCCGGAGCCGCCGGCGCCGACGUGGGCACGCCGUUCUGCCCCAUCAGCUUGGUCAUGGCCUUCUCGCACAGGUUCGGGUGCGCCGUGAAGGAGCACGUAUCCUUGACGUUGAUCGUGGCCACCGCGCCCCACGUGGAGACGGAGAGGACGGCGAGGACGACCACGAGGCCGCGGAGAGCAGCGGCAGAGGCGGCGGCCAUGUCGAUCCUCUUGCGAGAGAUGCCUUGCGGGCUGCAGAGCGGAAGGUGACGGACGGACGCUCUCUGGAUUGUUUCAUGUAUGGAAAGCAUGGAGGUGCUCUCUUGUAGCGUACUAGCGUGAGGCCGAGAGGGAGAGAGUCGCAAGCUCUCGGCAUGCAUGCAUGCCAGAGCGUGGCGAGGGCGAGCCGGAGGCGAGCGUACGGACAGGCAACGUCCAUGUCACUCCGUCAUCAACGGGAAGAAAAAUGUCUCAAUAAUGAGAGCAAACAAAACAUAGUAGUCUUAAAAGCGAAGCGAGAAGAUUCAAGCCAAGGAGGGGCACAGUAGAAGUUAGAGCAUGAACAACAUUGAGACACCAGUUUAGUUUUCCAAAUAUAAGAGACUACUAAAAGUUUACAUGAUACAAUCUUGAUAAUUAAACCUAGAUCAUAAAUACAGUUAAAAGACAAAAUGUAUGGAGAAUCGUAUAGAGGCAGAUUCUUCACGAAGAGUCCGUCUCUUAUAUUUUUUAAUUAGCUCUUCAGAUACUCCGAGUAUAUCCCAUAUUAAAUGAGGUCAUGUACAACCCUAAUUCGUUUUUUGAGACGACUAAAAGAUUGCAUAGUACAACCUUAGAAUUUGGAUCGUCAAUGUAGCUAAGAGAACGUGUAUAGAAAGUCAUGAAACUGUAUUCUUUUUAUUUAGUCCAAUAAAGACCCCUCAAAAGACCACAUGUAAUAUAUAUUACAUGUCCUAAUAAACAUUUCACGGAACAUUUCUUUAGCGCCUUCGGUGUCAGUGUAAAGGAUAACACCUAGUUGGAUUAUAUCACAUUUAGACCUGUAAACCUUAUUAUCAGUGCCCAGCACUAAUGGCUAGCUUUGUACAACGAUUUGAAGCAAAUCACAAUACGCGGACGCAUAAGCUUAAAAGGUACAUACCCAACAACAGUAGAUGUCUAAAAGCUCUGUCAAAAUUGAAAAGCACAGCUACAUGGCACUACCGAAAACAGGUGCUUUGCAUCUAUAGAAAAUAAAGUAGAGACCAUUCUCGAAUUUGAAAUCUCCACACAAAAUAACCAAUGAAAGUGCAAGUUUCCAUCUAUAGUUAGUUGCACGUACAUUGCUAUAGUAGGUAGACCUUGCUUAAAUAAAAUAUUUAUUCAAACACAACUGUAUUUUUUUAAAAUUUCAAAUUAUUAGUAUAUUUAUAUAUUUACAACAUCUCUAUUUUAUAUAACACAAAUAUACAUGGGUUGCAGUAGUAGAAGCCAUGUGCUUUAUAUCAAGUGAGUAGGGUUUGAAUCCUCCACACCCUAUUUUUCUGAUAUUCCGCGCCUGAGGGGAAAUUUGGAUAUUCUGCACAGGAUGGAAAAUUUAUUGGCUCGUUGCACUCCCUGGAGUAAUCGAUGCACGAAGAAACUCACGCUUAAAUAUAAAACUAGUCGGCUACCCGUGCGUUGCAACGGCUCACAACAAUACCCACGUAAACUGUCCACCAAAAAGAUCUCAAGGUUUUUUAUUGGUUGUCUCCACUCUUCACAUAAUAUUUUUUAUGAACGCGCGGGUACCAUAGGCAACAAAUCAGAGACCCUCAUCCCUCGCCUCUCCCACUUCCAAGGUUUCGUAGAGCAAGAGGGGAAGGAAAGACGAGGGCAUACCUGUUCGUUACCGGAGAAGGACACGACGAAGACCAGGGCAUCUGGAGGCGACAUAGGUAGUAUAGCGCUAGAUAUAUAGGGAGAGAGCACGCAAGCAGAGAAAGAAGCCCAACCAGAGUAGCUCCAAACCAAGAGGCACCUGCACCAGGCGUCAGUCCGAGAAGGGCGAGAGAAUGCGAGUGUUUUCCCAGCCCUGGACCCGCCGAAGCGACACAACACCACUACCAACUCCGUAGCAUAUGCCGAAUGCUGCCACGCUACGGGUCUUAGUUGUCCAAUAUCUCAGACCUUGACUCCUCAUCGCUAAGAUAACCUAAGCGUGCCAGGCGCCACCAUGUUCUCCUCGACGGCACACACGGAGAAAGGCCAGGAGCAUGACCGACUCGCCCUGUACCUGUGUCGACGAGUGUCGGUCGGCUCGCGGCUGCGACUGUGGGCGGGGGCAGCAGAUUGGGGUGAAAGAACAGGGCGAAGACAGGGAAGACGAACGGGACGUCUGACGACAGCGAAAACGAUGGUGCGCGCAUGUUGUGAAACGUCCUUGUGGACGUGCAAUAGCCACUGCGCGAGUCGGUGUCGGGGCUGGUGUCAGACAAAUACGGGGAGGAGGCGCCUACUCCUACGCCCUCUGCCGAUAAUGGGGUGUGAAAGUUGCCUAGAGGGGGGGAAUAGGCAAGUUAAAACUUUUUCAACAAAAACUAGAAGCAAACUGGGUAAAACUGAAUUGAUCUCGAAAUUCACCCAGUUAACUUUGGAAAUGAGAUGUUCUAGUUGAUCCACAGGGUUCAAAGUAGUAGAUAUGAGAAGGGCACUUCUCAAAAUCCACACACCAAAAAUAUAUAAACAAAUCUUCCACGCAAUGGUGAGAGAACGAAGAACACAAACAAACACAAUGAGCAAGAACACAAGAGACACAAGAUUUAUCCCGAGGUUCGGUCACACCACCAAGGUGCCCUACUUCCUCGUUGAGGCGCCCACAAAGAGCCGGGUCUCUUUCAACCCUAAUCCUCCCUUUGCCGACCACAAAGGUCAAGCCCACACAAUAAUCUUUGCUCAAACGAGCGGGUAAUACAAACUUUUUUAUGGUCUUCCACAAGAUUUGGAGGCUCACAAGAGACACCUAGUCGUCUAGGAGCUAGAAGCUCCAAGAGUAAUGAAUCCACAAAGAACUCGAUGUAGUACCAAAGCUCGAAUCAAGAAGAGCAAGAGAGAUUUGGAGAUGAAACCCAAAAACCGCAGCUCUCAAACUCACUCAAAGAUUCCUCUCCAAAGAUUUGAAAUGGGAGAGGCAAGAGGUGUGUGAGAGAGAGUGGGAGGUGUUUCUCAGGUUAGAAAUGGAGUUUUGUGCGUGCUAUACUGUGGGGGAAGAGUGUGGGAGGUGUAUAUAAAGGUGCUCCCAAAAGCUGGUGGCCGUUGGGGAAAUCUGACUGAAAUUCGGUUGAACCGGUUUCAAAUUCGGUUGAACCGGAUUCCACCAGUCGGUUUUCGGUUCACUGGCGGACUCAGCCGGAGACUGAACCGGACUCAAAUUCGGUUGAACCGGUUUCAAAAUUCGGUUCAACCGGCUUCAAAUUCGGUUGAACCGGAUUCAAAAUUCGGUUGAACCGGUUUUCCAAAAAUCUGCACAUGACUUUUUCUGACAGGACUGACUGGCAGACUGGCAGUGAUAGAGGGGAAUAGUGCAGAAACCGGUUGAACCGGUUUUAGGUCUGGUUGAACCGGUUUUUGAACUGUUGCACAGAUUUUGAGAAAACCGAAGUGAAUCCAGGGUAAAAUGGAAGUUUUAGAUCAAGGAUUUUGAGCUUUAGUACCAACACCAACCUUCUUUAUGGAUCCCCCUUUAUAGUACGACGAUUCCUAUACUCAAGUCAAAUAAAAUAUAAUUAAGUAAACUCCUUGAGUCAUUGGUGUCUCAAGUGUGAUUUCUCCAUGAUGUUGCUUCAUAAGGAUCACAAACAUCUUUGUCUCACCUUUUGAAGCAAACACAAAUCGAGUCUGUGACUUGUGCCAUUUCACCAUAUAUGAGUUCAAAUCAUGGCUUCAAGUCACCUUACUGAUGCAUCAACAUGUUGUAACUCUUCAUAGCUGAUUAGUUCAUCGACUUAGUGCAAGUACUCUCUUCUUCACCUUAGCCAUGGUACCUCGGUCUACAAGCCGUCGCUUGGCCUUCACCUUCGCUUAGUUCCUCGAAGCCCUUUCCUUGCUAUCUUCACCCUAUCAAGCCAUUCUUGAGUCACAUCCUAUUGAGCAUCCAUUGAGAGAAUCAUUUCUUCAAUAUUGUGAACCUUGCUUGAAUGUCAUCUAGAUAUAACUGCUAAGAUCAAUCAAUCUCUAGUUUGAUUCUCAUAUAUUCAUAUAUGGAGUAAUAGUAAUAUGGUCAAGCCAAUUCACGAUUCCUCAUAUCUUAUUCACUUUGGCUUGACCAAUCCUCUUAAUCACUUCAACCUCUAUUAUGAUCAUAUUUAUGCAUAGUGAUUUCUCAGGACUUGUCCAUAUAUUCAAACCAAUAUAGAGACCAUAUUAUAUCCAUUUGCAUUAUCUCAUUGGUUAUUUGACCUUGUGUUGAACCUUGUUCACUGAUCAUUAUACACUAUUCAAGUAUGUUCAUCAUACUGAAUUUCCUGUUCAACACUUAGCAAACUUGUUAGACCUUUAAAUGUGUUGUGUGUUGUUAUCCAAAUCACCAAAACUCACAAAAGGGAUGAAUGCACUUUCAAUCUCCCCCUUUUUGGUGAUUGAUGACAACACAUUUAAAGCUUACAUAAGAUUUGAUAAAUAAGAUUUUGAAUCCUAUGAUAUAGUUUCCUCCCCCUAAAUAUGUGCAUUUCAUAAAAUACCAAUUUUGUACUCAAAUGCCAAAACCACAUAUUUGGGUCAAAGAGUGAAGACAACUUAUAUCAUACUAUUCAUAGGGUGCUUUGUGUCAUAAAUAAACGUGAUGCUCAUGACAUAUUAUGCACUCAUCAAUUUCCUUCAUCUUAUGUUUUACUUAUGAUUCAACCCCCUUUUGUCAAUUAUUUCUCCCCCUUUUCAAAAGUCUUCUUACACUUAGUUACAUAAGACUAAAGGUAAGCUUUAAUGCACAAUUUCUCCCCCUUUGUCAUAAAUCUCCAAAAAAAGAUAUAAAGAAUUUAAAGGGUAGAAAUUAUGAUUAAUCAAGAUUUGAACACACUAUCAUGAAAAGGGUCCUUAUAUGGCACAAAGGUAAUGGAGAAGUGUCAUAAGUGAUGUACCUUUGCGUUUUACCUUUUUCAAAGGGGUGUUCCACACUUGUGUUGUAUUUAGAGUUCAUUUUGCAAUCUCUUGUUGGCAUAAUUGUGACAUAGGUCCAAGAUAUCAAAUGAAUAUUGUCAUACUAAUUGAAAGAUAAAUCUUGAUACCUUGAGUCUAGAUGUCACUGUCACACCCGGUUUUAGAAGGCAAACCGAAUGCGAACCAUGUACGUGUCAGGAUCAGUUAUUCACGUACACAGCAGUUACAUAACAUGGACAUCAUCACACAGUGCUCAAAAUAGUAUUAAGAAGGGAAAUAGUCGAUUACAUCAUACGCCUGAGACGUCCAUAUAGUCUUUACAAUAAAUCAAAGUGCGGAAAAGAAACGUAGAUAAAUGCGGCCUUCACAGGCAGCCGACUGGGGGUUGCCGCUAACCCACACCUAGAACUCGUCGUAGUCUUGGAACUCCUGGAAGUCUCCUUCCACAGCUUCAUCUUCUCCUGAGCAGUGGUUGCAAUGCUGACAACCUGGGGAUGGGGGGGGGGUUUGGUGUGUAGAGCAAGGGUGAGUACACAUCAACAUACUCAACAAGUAUCCUGUUUGGCUGUAGUGGACUAGCUUUAUGUGGGGAUAAGUCAAGCAGUUGCUUUUAGUUGGUCAGAUUAUUAUUUACUAAUAGAAAGCCAGGUUUUAGCAUUAACCCAAGUUAUUAGCCCGAUGUACCCUUUCCAAACGGAAAGAAUACCACUUACCAACACCAUAGUCAUAACCAAAACCAUCGAUCUCAUAACCACCUGUACCGAAGUAUCUCUGAUCAAGUACCACUAAUCACUGGAGCUCCCUUGGUCGCUCAUAACCGCGAGCACGACUGAUAUAUCAGUUUUCAAACACUCUGCAGAGGUUGUGCACUUUACCCACAAGCCGUGAUUCCCUUUCUGCCCGGAGAUCAUGACUCUCCAUUGAUCACUACCAAGGUGACCCAGCAGGGCAUCACUACGUAGCCUUUACAAAGAUUCCCCGGGACUGUAGCCACCCGUUAGGUUUCCUAAAUGCACCGCACUCCUCCCCAAGGGGCGAACCCAAACUUGGCAGAGCGAGCCGCAUACACCGAGCCCCAUUGACGGCACGACGGCUAAGUGAACUACACCCCGGAUCCUCUAAUUAUUCAGCUAAGGGCACCCCAUUCCACCCUCAUGGUUGCACUGUUUUCCCGGGCGGUCAUCCAUAGAACAGGUCCUUACGGAGAGGCACUCGAGAAACCGCUCGAGCCCCCUUGAUGACCACAAGUACAACAUUAUAAUAAGAGAAGGGAGAACAGCGUAUCAUAGAUAAUCUCAUCAUGUUCAUUGAUUAGAGUUUGAGCAAUAGCAUAAAGCUAAACAAUAAUAAUCCAACCCAAAUAGGUAGACAAGGACAUGGAUAACAAAAGCUAGUCAAUCCUUAGGCAUAAAUGUGUAAUGCGGGAGGUGAAUUAAAGAAUGUAUAGGACAGAGAUAGGUCAAGGGACACUUGCCUCCACCAACCGACUACUGCUCAGGGGCUUCUCCUACGAGUUCCUCGGGCUCUUCAACCGGAUCGUUCUCUAAGCGGGUGCAAACAUACAUACAUCCAUCCAUUAAAAUUAGGAAACCAACAGUACACCAUACAAGAGAACAAGUAAAGCAAAUAUGCAUAGAAUACCACAUACGAUAAUGGAUUUACCUUGGUUAGAAAGAAACGAGGGAAGGUCUCGCAGGGGUUAAGGCUUAUGCUCGAGGGGCACUACGGGUUGGUGAAUAACUAGACGUCACGUGUUCUAGUCCCAAUUGGUUCUAACAAAAGAAUUAGCUACAUGCACUAAUGUAAACGCGAUCACUUUUAGUAGAUUAACAUUGAAUAAGAUAGACGAUUGGCUAUACAAAUUAACUAACGUAACCAAUUUCCAAAUUGAGACUCCUGUCUUAUUAAUAUAAACGACGUGAUUAGCGCAUAUAGGAUACGGGGGGGUUAGGGGGGUAGACGAGGCACGACGGGUCGUGCCAAGGCACGCGCACUACGCGGGCACGCGCGCGAGGCCGCACGCACACACCACGGACUAGUCGUGCGCACGUCGGGUCCGAGCGCUAGCCGAGCUCAAAGCCGCGCGCCAUAGGCACGCUGGGCCAAGCUCGAGACCACGCAGGGGCCGACACGACGCGAGCAAGGCACGGCGGGGCGAGCGGGCAAGCAGACGGGGAAAACGAGCGCGGGCGAGCGAGGAUACGGCCGGACGAGGCCGAGCGCGGGAACAGGCGGCCGAGCCGGGGCACGGGGGCGGUUGAACCGGGGGGGCGGCCGAGCUCGCCGGGAGGCGGGCGGGUCGCCGAGGCGGGGACAGGGGACGGCUCACCGGAGCGGGCGCGGGGCGGCUCGCUGGAGCGGGCGCGAGGGCGGGGCCGAGCCGGACACGGGAGGGGGAGGGGCGGCUCGCCGGAGGGGCGGCUCGCCGGAGGGGCGGCUCGCCGGAGGGGCGGCCGGGCGCGGGGGCGGGCUGGUCGCCGGAGGCGGGGCCGAGGGGCGCGGCCAAGCCGGGACGGGUUCACCGGAGCGGGGCCGAGGCGGCCGAGCUCGGGGCGCGGGCGCGGGGGAGGGCGGGGCGCGGCCGGGCGGGCGGCGCGGGGUGGCCGGGCCGGGCGGGGUCGGCCGGGCGGGCGGCGCGGGGUGGCCGGACGCGGGCGGGGUGGCCGAGCCGGGCAGCGAGGGGGCGCGAGCGGCCGGGCCGGGGGCCGAGCCGGGCGGCGCGGGUGAGGGGAGGGCGCCGGAGGGAGGAGAGGGAGGGAGGAGAGGGGGGAAGCCUCACCGGAGGGGGGCGGCGCGGGGCGGCGCGCAGGGGCGGCGGCGGCGGCGCACAGGGGCGGUGGCGGCGGCGCACAGGGGCGGCGGCGGCGCGCAGGGCAAGGGGCGGCGCGGUUAGGGUUUGGGGGAAGAGAGAGAGGGUGAGAGAAUGACGGGCGGGGCCCGCGGGAGGGAUUUUUGGAAAAAAGAAAAGGGAGGGGGGCGGCUGGGCCGGCCAUGGGCCAAAAGGGGGGGAAGGGGGGCGCGCGGCUGGGCCGGCCGGGAGGCCCACGCGGGAGGGGAGGGGGGAGGCGCGGCUGGGCCGGCGCGCAAGGGGGGGCGGCUGGGCCGAAAUGGGAAAGGGAGAGAGGGAGAGAAUUUUCUUUUUCUAAAAUCUAAUUUUCUUUGGAUGAAUGCUUUUACAUUUUUAAACAAUCAAAAGUAUGCAUGGUUCGGCAUGGUGCACCAUCCAAAAUAAAGUAUUUUAAGGUUUUGCUUUACACGGGGUCUAAAGCCAAAACCCGCUAUAACUUUGGAAAAGAUCAAGGUUUAGCGAGGGAACGAGAAAAAAGAAAAGGGUAACGCCUGAAUUUGGUGAGAGAAAAGAAGAAAAAAUUCUACCCCCAAAUUCAGGGCGUUACAAACCUACCCCCCUUAAAAGAAUCUCGCCCUCGAGAUUCAGGGUUGGCUAGCAAAGAGCUCAGGGUAUUUAGCCAUCAGAUCAUUUUCACGCUCCCAGGUUGCUUCUUUCUCAGAGUGAUGAUUCCAUCUGACCUUGCACAUUCUGAUGGUCUUCUUUCGGGUGACUCUGUCUGCAACCUCAAGGAUCUGCACUGGCUUCUCAACGUAGGUCAAGUCCUCCUGGACUUCGAGACCUUCCACUGGCAACUGCUCUUCUGGCACACGCAAGCACUUCUUCAACUGAGACACAUGAAAGACAUCAUGCACAGCGGACAAAUUCUCUGGCAGACUGAGCUGAUAGGCCACUUCUCCACGUCUUGCAAGAAUUUGGUACGGACCAAUGUAGCGGGGUGCUAGCUUGCCUUUGACUCCGAGUCUCUUGACUCCUCUGAUCGGGGACACUUUCAGAUAGACAAAGUCUUCGACUUCGAAACUCAGCUCUCUUCUUCUUGUGUCUGCAUAGCUUCGCUGUCUUGAUUGCGCUAUCUUCAGAUUCUCUCGGACCAUCUUUAUGUUCUCUUCGGCUUCAAGCAAAGUGUCUGGCCCAAACACUUGCUUUUCUCCAGGCUGAUCCCAUUGCAACGGAGUUCUACAACUCCUUCUAUAGAGCGCCUGAAAUGGUGACAUCUUCAAACUGGCCUGGUAACUGUUGUUAUAGGAAAACUCUGCAUAAGGCAAUCGCUUGUCCCAUCCGGACUGAUCUUGCAACGCACAGGCUCUCAACAUGUCUUCAAGAAUUUGGUUGGUCCUUUCGGUCUGGCCAUCUGUCUGUGGAUGAUAAGCUGAACUGAAAUUCAGAUGCGUGCCCAAAGCUUCAUGCAACUGCUGCCAGAAAUGAGAGGUGAACUGCGUUCCUCUGUCUGACACUAUCUUCUUUGGCACACCAUGAAGACAAACGAUCCGAGACAUGUACAAUUCUGCCAAUACGGCACUGCUAUAGUUGGUCUUGACAGGUAUGAAGUGGGCUGACUUGGUCAAGCGGUCCACUACUACCCAAAUGGAAUCGUAGCCGGCUCGAGUGCGAGGCAAUCCGACUAUGAAAUCCAUACCAAUUUCAUCCCAUUUCCACUGAGGGAUCUGCAACGAUUGCAACAAUCCAGCUGGUCUCUGGUGCUCUGCCUUAAUUCUUCGACAACUAUCACACAUAGCCACAUGCUCUGCGAUUUCCCUCUUCAUUCCGUACCACCAGAAUUUCUUCUUCAGAUCCUGAUACAUCUUCUCACUGCCAGGGUGAAUCGAAUAGGCUGUCUCAUGAGCUUCCUUGAGAAUCAACUCCCGAAUGGACUGGACAUUGGGAACACACAAGCGGUCUUUGAACCAUAUCACGCCUUCUGCAUCCUCUCGAAAAUCCUUGCCUCUGCCAUCUAGAAUCAGUCGCCGGAUCUCACCGAUUUUCUCAUCAUUCUUCUACGCUUCUUUAAUUUCUCGCUCCAAGGUAGGUUCCAACUCAACUGUGACUCCUCGCGAAUUGUUCAAAAAUCCGAGACUCAACCUGUCGAACUCCUUGGCCAACUCAUAAGGCAUCGGACGAGCGACCAUCAGAUUGACUUGACUCUUUCUGCUCAAAGCAUCUGCCACUACGUUUGCUUUGCCUGGAUGGUAAUGAAUCUCCAACUCAUAAUCUUUGAUCAACUCUAACCAUCUUCGUUGCCUCAUAUUCAACUCUGACUGAGUGAAUAUGUACUUCAGACUCUUGUGGUCUGUGUAAACAUCGCAUUUCUGUCCAUACAAAUAGUGCCUCCAUGUCUUCAGUGCGUGAACCACUGCUGCCAACUCUAGAUCAUGGAUUGGGUAGUUCUUCUCAUGAACCUUCAGCUGUCGGGACGAGUAAGCCACAACUCUUCCCUCUUGCAUCAACACGCAUCCCAAACCUGUGUAACAAGCAUCGCAAUACACCGAGAAGGGCUUGUGCACAUCAGGCAAGACUAGGACAGGCGCUGUAGUCAACUUCUCUUUCAGAGCAUCAAAGGCCUCUUGACAUUUCUGGGUCCACUUGAACUCAACCUUGUUGCCUAGCAACGCUAUCAUUGGUUUCGCAAUCUUCGAAAACCCUUCAAUGAAUCGCCGAUAGUAUCCGGCCAUUCCAAUGAAACUCUUGAUUCCUCGAGCAUCUGUUGGCGCUUUCCAGUUCAAAAUGUCUGCCACUUUCUUCGGAUCCACAGCCAACCCUUCCUUGUUGAUUAUGUGACCCAAGAACAGGACUUCACUGAUCCAGAACUCACACUUGCUCAACUUUGCAUACAGCUGGUGCUCUCGCAAUCUCUGCAAUACCAUCUUCAAAUGAUCUGCGUGCUCUUCUUCGCUUUGAGAAUAAAUCAGAAUGUCAUCAAUGAAUACCACCACAAACUUAUCGAGGUAAUCCAUGAAUACACUGUUCAUCAAGUUCAUGAAGAACGCCGGCGCAUUGGUCAAACCAAAAGACAUCACUGUGAACUCAUACAACCCAUACUUGGUAAUGAAUGCCGUCUUCAGAAUGUCCGAAGGUCGGAUCCUGAGCUGAUGAUAACCUGACCUCAGAUCAAUCUUGGAGAACACACUGGCUCCUCUCAACUGGUCGAACAGAUCUUCUAUUCUGGGCAAGGGAUACUUGUUCUUGAUCGUGACUUCAUUCAAAGCUCGAUAAUCAAUACACAUCCUCUUGGUGCCAUCUUUCUUCUCCACAAAUAGGACAGGGGCGGCCCAAGGCGAGGUGCUUGGCCGAAUGUAACCUUUCUCUGACAGCUCAUCAAUCUGCUUCUUAAGCUCAACCAACUCUGGUCCAGAUAUUCUGUAAGCUCUCUUGAAGAUAGGGGCGGUUCCAGGCAGAAGCUCUAUAGCAAACUCAACUUUCCGCUCUGGUGGCAUACCCGGUAAGUCCUUUGGAAACACAUCUGGGAACUCAGACACAACCCUGAUACUCUUAAUUGGGUCUGCCUCACUGCUAUCGACAGCUAGCUGAUAACAACUUCCUUUCUUUGGCUCAGGCGGGACUAACUCGGUCACCACUUCCUCUCCUAGUGGGGACACCAACUUGAUUGUCCUCUUAUCACAACUGAUAACUGCCUGAUACUUAUCUAGCCAAUUCAUCCCUAGGAUGACAUUUAUUCCCUGAGUACCCAUUACUAUAAGGUUGGCGGGAAACGCUAUCCCCCUUAUUUCCACACUUAUAUUCAAACAAAUGCUAUCGGCUCGAAUUCUACCACCGGCUGAGUCAAUUUGAAUGGGGGUUGACAUGGUAGUAAUUGGAAGAUUAUGUGCUUCUACCCAUGAUGCAGUAAUGAAAGAAUGUGUUGCUCCAGUAUCAAAUAACACUUCUGCAAUAUGGGAGUCGACUGGGAACAUACCUACUAUCAUGCCGGGGGUCUCCUGAACUGCUUCAGCCUCCAAGUGAUUCAGUCUUCCAUGAUUGUAACGCGGCUGAGAGCGAUUGCCUGCUCCAGACUGAGGCACAUUCUGCUUUGCGGGGGCAUUGGGGCCUGACUGCUGCUGGGCUGCCUUCUUCGGACAUUGCAUCACCCAGUGGCCUUGCUCUCCACAGUGGAAACAUGCUUUGUUUCCCACCUGAGCUGGUGCUGCCUGAUUGCUUUGCUGGUUUGCUGGGGCAGGAAGACGAGGUGCUUGCUGAUUCUGCCUCUGAAACUGACCUCCUGACUGAUUGCUCUGACGGUUCUGGUACUGGUGCUGAGGAUACUGCCUCUGGAAUUGCUGAUGCUGCUGAGGUGGACGCUGGUUCUGCCUGAACUGCUGAGGUUGAUUGCCUGAGAAACAAGGACGAUUGCUGCUUCCAGGCUGGGGUCCACUGAUCUUGCGCUUACGAUCCUCCAUCUCCUUACGCUUCCUCUCUGUCAUGAUUGCUCUGUCAAUCAGGUGCUGGAAUGUCGGGAAGGUGUGAUUCAUCAGUUGGUACUGCAGAGGGUCAACCAAGCCUCUCAGGAAACGGUACUGUCGCUUGGCGUCGGUGUUGACAUCUUCAGGAGCAUAGCGAGACAGUUGCAGAAACCUGUCUCGGUACUCGCUGACAGACGAUGGCCCUUGCUUGAGGGCCAGGAACUCCUCCUUCUUCACUGUCAUCAGACCUGCAGGAACAUGGUACUGACAAAAGCUACCUCUGAACUCUUCCCAGGUGAUGGCGUCAGGGUGGGCAUGGGUGGCGAGGUAAGACUCCCACCAUGAUUGGGCUGCUCCUCUCAACAGACGGGGACCAUACAGGACUUUCUCCCUGUCAUCGCACUGAGCGGUAUGCAACUCCCGCUCCACAGUGCGCAGCCAGUCUUCAGCAUCCAUGGGGUCAGAAGAGUGAGCGAACGUUGGUGGAUGACCUCUCAUGAAUUCAGCACGCUUGUCUCUGGGCAUCUGAGGCAUCUGAGGCUGAGGUGGGGCCUGCUGCUGCUGCUGAAUGGCGGCCAAAGUCUGACCGAUGGCUUGAACUGCCUGAGUCUGCAUCAGAAACAUCUGCUCGAUCGACAUCGGGGGCGGGGGCGGCAGAUGCUGCUGCUGGGGCACCUCCUCCUGUUGAGCGGCUCGCUCCUGCUGAGCACGCCUUCCUCCUCUGCGCCUAUUCUCUGACAUCUGCAGAAUGCAACCACACAUCAGAACUGAUCUGGCAAAUCUUGCAGCAUAAGAAAAGAGUAUAGAAUUCUUCAACAGCACUGAACAGAUGAGCAUCUUCACUGAUCUCCAACACAGACCACACAACUUCUCAGAUAAAGAGGAAAGUGGAAUAAAAGGUUUCCCAACUAUAUAACUAACUUUAUUAACAUAAUAGGUAAACCAAAAUGCAGGAGAUACCCACACUCUGGUGACAGUCAUUACAAAGAUCCAAACCAAACAUAGUUCAUCAUAACAAGCAUAAAUGCACAAGAUAUAGCAAACUACCCUGUCUAACUAAGACUAACUAAAAGCGAGACUAACGCUAAGACUGUAGCUUCUACGUAUGUAUAUUUCGUAUUAAUUACAAGAUCCAACUCUAACGAGCUAUGGUUCUAGAGUUAUCUUGGUCUUGCAGUCGGGAUUGCCAUAAGACCGGUGUCCACGCCGAGGUGAGCGGUACGGGUGCUGAGUCCCGACGGGAGCGGGGGAACCAUCUUCCAGGUGACAACGUUCCGCGCGCUCAGCCCGCAGCAGGGCGAUCUCAGCACGAGCCCUACUCAGCUCGUCUAAUGCAUGGUCCAGCUUCGUGUUUAGCACGAUGGCUAGGUUGACUGUGCUGCUCAACCUAGGACUGCCCUCACCGACAGGUGAUACAAUCACGCCUCCUGUGCUGCCAGAUGGACGGCGAGGGUAAUACUUCAGGUCAAGGCCGUCAGCUACCCCACCGAAAACCGAGCAGUAGUGCGAAAGCGCACGCCGUGCAGCAUCUUGCAUGGCUGCCUCAGAUGAGUCCCGCUCAGAGAUAGAAUAGUGCUCUGAGCAGGCCUCCGCACCCUGGAGACUGUUCUCCGGGCGGCGCACCAAGCAGGUUGCCUCCCAGCGGUCCGGGUAGACCCCGCGACUAUGCUGGUAGACCACACAGCGAUACUCGAUGGACCAAGUAUGCCUGAGAGCACCUAGAGGGGGGGGUGAAUAGGUGAUCCUGUAAAACUUCAAAACUUAAGCCACAAAAACUUGUUAAGUGUUAGCACAAUUAUGGCCAAGUGGCUAGAGAGGAGUCAAAACACAAUAACCACAAGAAAUCAAUCACAGAGAUGACACGGUGGUUAUCCCGUGGUUCGGCCAAGUACAAAACUUGCCUACUCCACGUUGUGGCGUCCCAACGGACGAGAGUUGCACUCAACUCCUCUCAAGUGAUCCAAUGAUCAACUUGAAUACCACGGUGUUCUUGCUUUUCUUUUCUCAAUCCCGUUUGCGAGGAAUCUCCACAACUUGGAGCCUCUCGCCCUUACAAAAGAUGUUCACAGAGAAUCACAGAGCAAAGGAGGGAUUAGCAACUCACACACGACACAAAGAUCACAGCGAAUACGCACACACAAGACCCAGACUUGAGCUCAAAAGACUAGCACACUAGAACGGAGCUCAAAUCACUAGAAUGUCGAACAAGUGCGCGAGAUUGAUGUGUGAGUGAUCAAGAGUGCUCAAGGAAUGCUUGUGUAUUCUCCUCCAUGCGCCUAGGGGUCCCUUUUAUAGCCCCAAGGCAGCUAGGAGCCGUUGAGAACACAUCUGGAAGGCUAUCCUUGCCUUCUGUCGUCGGGCGCACCGGACAGUCCGGUGCACACCGGACACUGUCCGGUGCCCGAUUUAUUUCCAUAAACAGCGCAUCCGACCGUUGCUGUCUGUUGCAGAUCUGGGCGCCGUUGGCGCACCGGACAUGUCCGGUGCACACCGGACAGUCCGGUGCCCCAUUCCGACCGUUGGCUCGGCCACGUGUCGCGCGCCGAUCGCGCGGCCGACCGUUGGCCCGGCCGACCGUUGGCUCACCGGACAGUCCGGUGCACACCGGACAGUCCGGUGAAUUUUAGCCGAAGUCGCCGGAGAAAAACCCGAGAGCGGCUGGUUUGCUCCGCGCUGGUCUGGCGCACCGGACACUGUCCGGUGCACACCGGACAGUCCGGUGCCCCAGCCCGAAGCAGCCCUCCACUCCUCUUCUUCUUCCUGUUUCUAACACUUAGACAAGAAUAUUAGUACACAAAACCAAUGUACUAAGGCUUAGAAACAUACCUUAACUUGUGAUUUGCACUUUGUUCAUCCAUGGGCAUAUUUUCACAUUUAAGCACUUGUGUUUGCACUCAAUCACCAAAAUACUUAGAAAUGGCCCAAAGGCACAUUUCCCUUUCAAUCUCCCCCUUUUUGGUGAUUUAUGCCAACACAACAUAAAGCAAGUGGAACAAGUGCAAAACUACUUCAAAUAAAAACUAACUUUGAGUUUUAUUCAAUUUUGGCAUAUAUGGAUCAUCCUUUGCCACCACUUGGUUUGUUUUUGCAAAUCAAACUCAAAUCUCUAUCUCUAAGUCAAACACACAUGUUGAGGCAUAAAGAGAGUCAUUCCAAAAGAGAUUGAUCAAGGAUUUCAAAAACUCCCCCUAUUUCCCAUAAUCACCACUUCUCCCCACAAGAAGCCAACUUUUGACAAUAGAGACAAUAAGAGAUAAUAAAAGCUUUUGACAAAUAAGAGAUAAUAAAAGCUUUUGACAAAAACUCACAAAAACUCUAUUCUACUAUUUUCAAAAUCUCUCAAGUGGUAGCUGAUCCAUUUAUUACUUUGGCCUUUAUUUUCUCCCCCUUUGGCAUCAAGCACCAAAACGGGAUUAAUCUUGGCCUUUUAACCCCAUUGCCUCACCAAAGUCUUCAAUUAAGAGCAAAUGGCAAUAAGAUUUCAUGAGAUGAACUUGGAAUUAGUUACCCUCUCAUCGGAGUGCAGUGGAAGUCUUUCAUGGUCCAAGUCCACCUUUUCCCUUUCAAUCCUCCUUCGAGACUAAAUCAUCAAACUCAAGCACAUGGUUAGUCUCAAAGGGUCAAGUUGUAACACAUCUCCCCCUAAACAUGUGCAUCACUUUGCAACGGACUUGUGAGGUCCAGGGAGUGUUUGUACAACUUGAGCAUAAUAAGCAACAAAAUGCAAAAAGGAACAUGAUCAAAAGCAUAAGUACAUGUAUGCUACAAUUCAAUCCAGGUUCCGCGAAUCUAUGACAUUUAGCUCACUACGCAACCUGCAAAAGGUCUUCUCAUCUAGAGGCUUAGUGAAGAUAUCGGCUAGCUGGUUCUCGGUGCUAACAUGAAACACUUCGAUAUCUCCCUUUUGCUGGUGGUCUCUCAAAAAGUGAUGCCGGAUGUCUAUGUGCUUUGUGCGGCUGUGCUCAACAGGAUUCUCCGCCAUGCGGAUAGCACUCUCAUUGUCACAUAGGAGUGGGACUUUACUCAGAUUGUAGCCAAAGUCCCGGAGGGUUUGCCUCAUCCAAAGUAGUUGCGCGCAACACUGACCUGCGGCAACGUACUCGGCCUCAGCGGUGGAUAGGGCAACGGAUGUUUGUUUCUUAGAGUUCCAUGACACCAGGGACCUUCCUAAGAAUUGGCACGUCCCCGAUGUACUCUUCCUAUCGACCUUACAUCCAGCAUAGUCGGAGUCUGAGUAUCCAACUAAGUCAAAGGUAGACCCCUUUGGAUACCAGAGCCCGAAGCAAGGCGUAGCAACCAAAUAUCUAAGAAUUCGCUUCACCGCCACUAAGUGACACUCCUUAGGGUCGGAUUGAAAUCUAGCACACAUGCAUACGCUAAGCAUAAUGUCCGGUCUACUAGCACAUAAAUAAAGCAAAGAACCUAUCAUUGACCGGUAUGCUUUUUGAUCAACGGACUUACCUCCUUUGUUGAGGUCGGUGUGUCCGUCGGUUCCCAUCGGCGUCUUUGCGGGCUUGGCGUCCUUCAUCCCAAACCGCUUUAGUAGAUCUUGCGUGUACUUCGUUUGGGAGAUGAAGGUGCCGUCCUUGAGUUGCUUCACUUGGAACCCAAGGAAGUAGUUCAACUCGCCCAUCAUCGACAUCUCGAAUUUCUGCGUCAUCACCCUACUAAACUCUUCACAAGACUUUUGGUUAGUUGAACCAAAUAUUAUGUCGUCGACAUAAAUUUGGCACACAAACAAAUCACCAUCACAUGUCUUUGUAAAAAGAGUUGGAUCGGCCUUCCCAACCUUGAAAGCAUUAGCAAGUAAAAAGUCUCUAAGGCAUUCAUACCAUGCUCUUGGGGCUUGCUUAAGUCCAUAGAGCGCCUUAGAGAGCUUACACACAUGGUCGGGGUACCGUUCAUCCUCGAAGCCAGGGGGUUGCUCCACGUACACUUCCUCCUUGAUUGGCCCGUUGAGGAAAGCGCUUUUCACAUCCAUUUGGUACAACCUGAACGAAUGGUGAGCGGCAUAUGCUAGCAAGAUACGAAUGGACUCUAGCCUAGCCACAGGAGCGAAAGUCUCCUCAAAGUCCAAACCUGCGACUUGGGCAUAACCUUUUGCCACAAGUCGAGCCUUGUUCCUCGUCACCACCCCGUGCUCGUCCUGUUUGUUGCGGAACACCCACUUGGUUCCCACAACAUUUUGCUUCGGACGAGGCACCAGUGUCCAAACUUCAUUGCGCUUGAAGUUGUUGAGCUCCUCCUGCAUGGCCAAUACCCAAUCCGGAUCUAGCAAGGCCUCCUCUACCCUGAAAGGCUCAAUAGAAGAGACAAAGGAGUAAUGCUCACAAAAAUUAACUAAUCGAGAUCGAGUAGUUACUCCCUUGCUAAUGUCACCCAGAAUUUGAUCGACGGGAUGAUCCCUUUGAAUCAUCGCUCGAACUUGGGUUGGAGGUGCCGGUUGCGCUUCUUCCUCCAUCACUUGAUCAUCUUGUGCUCCCCCUUGAUCAAGCGCCUCCACUUGAGGUACCUGUUCGUCAUCUUCGGUUGGGGAAUGCACCAUAGUUGAGGAAGAAGGUUGAUCUCGUUCAUCUUGUUCCUGUGGCCGUACUUCUUCUUUUCCCUCUUGUUUCCCUUUUCCUGGUCACUAUCAUUAUCGGGGCAGUUAGCGAUAAAAUGACCAAUCUUACCGCACUUGAAGCAUGAGCGCUUCCCCUUCGUCUUGGUCUUGCUUGGCUGCCCCUUGUGACCUUUUAGCACCGUCUUGAAGCGUUUGAUGAUGAGAGCCAUCUCUUCAUCAUUAAGUCCGACCGCCUCAAUUUGUGCCACCUUGCUAGGUAGCACCUCCUUGCUUCUUGUAGCUUUGAGAGCAAAAGGUUGUGGUUCGUUGAUCGGUCCAUUCAAGGCGUCGUCCACGUACCUUGCUUCCUUGAUCAUCAUUCGCCCGCUGACGAAUUUUCCUAAGACUUCUUCGGGCGACAUUUUGGUGUACCUGGGAUUCUCACGAAUAUUAUUCACCAAAUGAGGAUCAAGAACGGUAAAGGACCUUAGCAUUAGUCGGACGACGUCGUGGUCCGUCCAUCGCGUGCUUCCGUAGCUCCUUAUUUUGUUGAUAAGGGUCUUGAGCCGGUUGUAUGUUUGAGUUGGCUCCUCGCCCCUUAUCAUCGUGAACCGUCCAAGCUCGCCCUCCACCAACUCCAUUUUGGUGAGCAAGGUAGCGUCAUUUCCCUCAUGAGAGAUCUUGAGGGUAUCCCAGAUUUGCUUGGCGUUAUCCAAGCCACUCACUUUGUUAUAUUCAUCCCUGCACAAUGAAGCUAGAAGAACAGUAGUAGCUUGUGCAUUCUUAUGGAUUUGCUCAUUAAUGAAUAUAGGACUAUCCGAACUAUUAAAGUGCAUUCCACUAUCUACAAUCUCCCAUAUACUAGGAUGGAGAGAGAAUAGGUGACUACGCAUUUUGUGGCUCCAAAAUCCGUAGUCCUCCCCAUCAAAGUGUGGGGCUUGCCGAGUGGAAUGGAAAGCAAAUGUGAAUUUGAGCUUUGCGGAAUACGAGAGUAGUCAAAGGAAAAGUUAGAAUUAACCGGUUUCCUUUGCUCGUAGUCGUUGUGGUCGUCGUCCUUUUGGGAAGAAGUAGACUCAUCACUGUCGUCGUAGUAGACGAUCUCCUUGAUGCGCCUCGUCUUCUUCUUCUUCCCUUCCUUUCGUCUAUGACCCGAGCCGGAGUCGGUAGGCUUGUCAUCUUUGAGCUCAUUGACGAAGGACUCCUUCUCCUUAUCAUUGAUCACGAUUCCCUUCCCCUUAGGAUCCAUCUCUUCGGGCGGCUAGUCCCUUUCUUGAAGAGAACGGCUCUGAUACCAAUUGAGAGCACCUAGAGGGGGGGGUGAAUAGGUGAUCCUGUAAAACUUCAAAACUUAAGCCACAAAAACUUGUUAAGUGUUAGCACAAUUAUGGCCAAGUGGCUAGAGAGGAGUCAAAACACAAUAACCACAAGAAAUCAAUCACAGAGAUGACACGGUGGUUAUCCCGUGGUUCGGCCAAGUACAAAACUUGCCUACUCCACGUUGUGGCGUCCCAACGGACGAGAGUUGCACUCAACUCCUCUCAAGUGAUCCAAUGAUCAACUUGAAUACCACGGUGUUCUUGCUUUUCUUUUCUCAAUCCCGUUUGCGAGGAAUCUCCACAACUUGGAGCCUCUCGCCCUUACAAAAGAUGUUCACAGAGAAUCACAGAGCAAAGGAGGGAUUAGCAACUCACACACGACACAAAGAUCACAGCGAAUACGCACACACAAGACCCAGACUUGAGCUCAAAAGACUAGCACACUAGAACGGAGCUCAAAUCACUAGAAUGUCGAACAAGUGCGCGAGAUUGAUGUGUGAGUGAUCAAGAGUGCUCAAGGAAUGCUUGUGUAUUCUCCUCCAUGCGCCUAGGGGUCCCUUUUAUAGCCCCAAGGCAGCUAGGAGCCGUUGAGAACACAUCUGGAAGGCUAUCCUUGCCUUCUGUCGUCGGGCGCACCGGACAGUCCGGUGCACACCGGACACUGUCCGGUGCCCGAUUUAUUUCCAUAAACAGCGCAUCCGACCGUUGCUGUCUGUUGCAGAUCUGGGCGCCGUUGGCGCACCAGACAUGUCCGGUGCACACCGGACAGUCCGGUGCCCCAUUCCGACCGUUGGCUCGGCCACGUGUCGCGCGCCGAUCGUGCGGCCGACCGUUGGCCCGGCCGACCGUUGGCUCACCGGACAGUCCGGUGCACACCGGACAGUCCGGUGAAUUUUAGCCGAAGUCGCCGGAGAAAAACCCGAGAGCGGCUGGUUUGCUCCGCGCUGGUCUGGCGCACCGGACACUGUCCGGUGCACACCGGACAGUCCGGUGCCCCAGCCCGAAGCAGCCCUCCACUCCUCUUCUUCUUCCUGUUUCUAACACUUAGACAAGAAUAUUAGUACACAACCAAUGUACUAAGGCUUAGAAACAUACCUUAACUUGUGAUUUGCACUUUGUUCAUCCAUGGGCAUAUUUUCACAUUUAAGCACUUGUGUUUGCACUCAAUCACCAAAAUACUUAGAAAUGGCCCAAAGGCACAUUUCCCUUUCAAUGCCGGUUAAGUGCCCGACGUAGCAGGGUGUCGAGCGCAUCGUGGAAGUGACACCCGCGAGCAGCGUCGCGAGUGAUGGGUCGAGCAACCCAUCCUUCCGGCUCAAGGUUAGCAGAAAGGUCGGUGUCGUGGCUCGAGCUGUCGUCGCCACCUCUGUCGUCUGGGUCUCCUCCAGCAGCUACUCCAGAAGCUGGGGCGCCCAGUGGUGGUGCAGAGGGCGCCUCCAGAGGAAGCACGGGGGAGUAGCUCCUCACGGACUCUAUCUCCUGCUGGAGCGAGAAGGAAGAGCCCUGCUGCUCCUGUCGUCGACGUUCCUGCUCCUCAUGCAGGCGGUGGUGUAGUCUCUCCAAGUGGCUGGACUGUCCGGCCACGGGACGGCGAAGCGGACGCUCAGCAAGGCGGGAGGGUAAGAAGGGGAUGACAGACUUUCGUGCAGUGUGUCUAAGUCGAGCCAUCUACAAAAGACAUCGCAAGCAAAAGGGUGAGAAUAGAAUCAAUAUGACCAGCAAAUAAUGAAUCAUAAGUAAAUGAAGAAUUAGAAUAAAACAUGAUUUUCAGCAAGGUAUAUUAUAUAGUAGAACAUAGGUUUGGCCGGUAUGACCAACUUUUGAAGGGAUAUCAAAGUCAAGGCAGGGACAGAGGUCUAUAGUCCUUAGAACGACCAUUCUACUCUAGGUUAGCGGUCCUACAGUCUGCACGGCUUUGAUACCACUUAUGUCACACCCGAUUUUAGAAGGCAAACCGAAUGCGAACCAUGUACGUGCCAGGAUCAGUUAUUCACGUACACAACAGUUACAUAACAUGGACAUCAUCACACAAUGCUCAAAAUAGUAUUAAGAAGGGAAAUAGUCGAUUACAUCAUACGUCUGAGACGUCCAUAUAGUCUUUACAAUAAAUCAAAGUGCGGAAAAGAAACGUAGAUAAACGCGGCCUUCACAGGCAGCCGACUGGGGGUUGCCGCUAACCCACACCUAGAACUCGUCGUAGUCUUGGAACUCUUGGAAGUCUCCUUCCACAGCUUCAUCUUCUCCUGAGCAGUGGUUGCAAUGCUGACAACCUGGGGAUGGGGGGGGUUUGGUGUGUAGAGCAAGGGUGAGUACAGAUCAACAUACUCAGCAAGUAUCCUGUUUGGCUGUAGUGGACUAGCUUUAUGUGGGGAUAAGUCAAGCAGUUGCUUUUAGUUGGUCAGAUUAUUAUUUACUAAUAGAAAGCCAGGUUUUAGCAUUAACCCAAGUUAUUAGCCCGAUGUACCCUUUCCAAACGGAAAGAAUACCACUUACCAACACCAUAGUCAUAACCAAAACCAUCGAUCUCAUAACCACCUGUACCAAAGUAUCUCUGAUCAAGUACCACUAAUCACUGGAGCUCCCUUGGCCGCUCAUAACCGCGAGCACGGCUGAUAUAUCAGUUUUCAAACACUCUGCAGAGGUUGUGCACUUUACCCACAAGCCGUGAUUCCCUUUCUGCCCGGAGAUCAUGACUCUCCAUUGAUCACUACCAAGGUGACCCAGCAGGGCAUCACUACGUAGCCUUUACAAAGAUUCCCCGGGACUGUAGCCACCAGUUAGGUUUCCUAAAUGCACCGCACUCCUCCCCAAGGGGCGAACCCAAACUUGGCAGAGCGAGCCGCAUACACCGAGCCCCAUUGACGGCACGACGGCUAAGUGAACUACACCCCGGAUCCUCUAAUUAUUCAGCUAAGGGCACCCCAUUCCACCCUCAUGGUUGCACUGUUUUCCCGAGCGGUCAUCCAUAGAACAGGUCCUUACAGAGAGGCACUCGAGAAACCGCUCGAGCCCCCUUGAUGACCACAAGUACAACAUUAUAAUAAGAGAAGGGAGAACAGCGUAUCAUAGAUAAUCUCAUCAUGUUCAUUGAUUAGAGUUUGAGCAAUAGCAUAAAGCUAAACAAUAAUAAUCCAACCCAAAUAGGUAGACAAGGACAUGGAUAACAAAAGCUAGUCAAUCCUUAGGCAUAAAUGUGUAAUGCAGGAGGUGAAUUAAAGAAUGUAUAGGACAGAGAUAGGUCAAGGGACACUUGCCUCCACCAACCGACUGCUGCUCAGGGGCUUCUCCUGCGAGUUCCUCGGGCUCUUCAACCGGAUCGUUCUCUAAGCGGGUGCAAACAUACAUACAUCCAUCCAUUGAAAUUAGGAAACCAACAGUACACCAUACAAGAGAACAAGUAAAGCAAAUAUGCAUAGAAUACCACAUACGAUAAUGGAUUUACCUUGGUUAGAAAGAAACGAGGGAAGGUCUCGCAGGGGUUAAGGCUUAUGCUCGAGGGGCACUAUGGGUUGGUGAAUAACUAGACGUCACGUGUUCUAGUUCCAAUUGGUUCUAACAAAAGAAUUAGCUACAUGCACUAAUGUAAACGCGAUCACUUUUAGUAGAUUAACAUUGAAUAAGAUAGACGAUUGGCUAUACAAAUUAACUAACGUAACCAAUUUCCAAAUUGAGACUCCUAUCUUAUUAAUAUAAACGACGUGAUUAGCGCAUAUAGGAUACCGGGGGGGUAGACGGGGGGUUAGGGGGGUAGACGAGGCACGACGGGUCGUGCCAAGGCACGCGCACUACGCGGGCACGCGCGCGAGGCCGCACGCACACACCACGGACUAGCCGUGCGCACGUCGGGGCCGAGCGCUAGCCGAGCUCAAAGCCGCGCGCCAUAGGCACGCUGGGCCAAGCUCGAGACCACGCAGGGGCCGACACGACGCGAGCAAGGCACGGCGGGGCGAGCGGGCAAGCAGCCGGGGAAAACGAGCGCGGGCGAGCGAGGAUACGGUCGGACGAGGCCGAGCGCGGGAACAGGCGGCCGAGCCGGGGCACGGGGGCGGUUGAACCGGGGGGGGGCGGCCGAGCUCGCCGGGAGGCGGGCGGGUCGCCGAGGCGGGGACGGGGGACGGCUCACCGGAGCGGGCGCGGGGCGGCUCGCCGGAGCGGGCGCGAGGGCGGGGCCGAGCGGGCGCGGCCGGGCUCGCCGGGGGCGGGGCCGAGCCGGACACGGGAGGGGGAGGGGCGGCUCGCCGGAGGGGCGGCCGGGCGCGGGGGCGGGCUGGUCGCCGGAGGCGGGGCCGAGGGGCGCGGCCAAGCCGGGACGGGCUCGCCGGAGCGGGGCCGAGGCGGUAGGCCUGCUAAUGGCAAAAAAUCCAAUCCACUCCCACCCAUACCCAAAUCUAAUUACUUUGAUAUCCAUCCCACACCCAACCAAAAAUACUAUAGGGAAGUUAAACCUAACCCAUCCAAUAACAUUAUUAAUCCCAAACCAACCCGUAAUUGGGUGGAAACCCAUGGAAAACCCGUGGGUUUAGCUUAUUGUCUCACAUCAAGCCAACUGCAUACACAUUUUAAAAAUCACAUUUUAAAGCAGUAAAUUAAUUCAAAUGAAAAAGUUUUCAACUACAAAUUUGUAUAACUCAUCAUGAUGUACAUUUUAUAUUUUGAACAUUUCUUCAUAUGAUAAACUAAAAAUAAAUUUGUUCAUAAAACUUAUCUCUCUCUCAUAGUUUAUGGAACUACGAGAGAUAUGUAUAGAAUUUGUGCAUAUUGUUAGAACUAUCAUGUGAGAUGAACAAAUGAUCAAACAACCAAAAUAAACUUUGUAGAUCUUGAAAAGUUAUAGAAGUUUGUAGUUGACAACUUUUUCAUUUGAAGUCAUAUUGUCAACGAAAACUAUGCCUGAAUUUAAAAAAUUUAAAAUUUGAAUUUUGAAAACAACCUCGAAAGAAAAAACCACCAACAUGAAAGUUGUAGGUAUUGAAGGGUUAUGAAACUUUAUAGUUGACAAUGUUUUGGUUUGAAAUCAUCUUGCCAUGCAAAACUAUGUUUGAAUUUUGAAUUUUAAAUUUUUCAAACUACCUCGGAUGAAAAACCACCAAAAUAAAAGUUGUAGGUCUUGAAAUGUUAUGAAACUUUGUAAUUGUCAACUUUUUUAUUUGAAAUCAUCUUAUCAUUGAAAAAUUCGUGUGAAGUUUUCAAAUUUAAAAUUCAAAUUUUGUAAACGGUCUCGGAUGUAGAAACUAUUAAAAUAGAAUUUGUAGAUAUUAAAAAGUUAUACAACUUUAUAGUUGGUCACAUUUUUAAAUAAAAUGGUACUGAUAAAAUGGUAUAGUAUAGUGUGUUGUGUGUGACUAAAGAAAUCAAAGACUUCUCUAAACCUAAAAUAAAAUGGUACUGAUUAAGGUGGUAGUCUGAUUGGUGAAUACCCAUGGAAACCCAUACCUAUACAAAUCCAUUUAUACCCAUGGGUAUCCACCAUUUUGACCCGCAAUAUAAAAUAAACCCACCCAACCCAACCCGUUAAUAAUUAAAACCCAUUACAACCCACCAAAACAAAACUAUUUCUUAAACCCACCUAAAAUACCCAUUUACACCCACCCCAUUUGCAGCCCUACGAGGCAGCCGAGCUCGGGGCGCGGGGGAGGGCGGGGCGCGGCCGGGCGGGCGGCGCGGGGUGGCCGGGCCGGGCGGGGUCGGCCGGGCGGGCGGCGCGGGGUGGCCGGACGCGGGCGGGGUGGCCGAGCCGAGCGGCGCGGGGGCGCGAGCGGCCGGGCCGGGGGCCGAGCCGGGCGGCGCGGGUGAGGAGAGGGCGCCGGAGGGAGGAGAGGGAGGGAGGAGAGGGGGGAAGCCUCACCGGAGGGGGGCGGCACGGGGCGGCGCGCAGGGGCGGCGGCGGCGGCGCACAGGGGCGGCGGCGGUGCGCAGGGCAAGGGGCGGCGCGGUUAGGGUUUGGGGAAGAGAGAGAGGGUGAGAGAAUGACAGGCGGGGCCCGCGGGAGGGAUUUUUGGAAAAAAGAAAAGGGAGGGGGGCGGCUGGGCCGGCCAUGGGCCGAAAGGGGGAAGGGGGCGCGCGGCUGGGCCGGCCAGGAGGCCCACGCGGGAGGGGAGGGGGGAGGCGCGGCUGGGCCGGCGCGCAAGGGGGGGGGCGGCUGGGCCGAAAUGGGAAAGGGAGAGAGGGGGUUUUCUUUUUCUAAAAUCUAAUUUUCUUUGGAUGAAUGCUUUUACAUUUUUAAACAAUCAAAAGUAUGCAUGGUUCGGCAUGGUGCACCAUCCAAAAUAAAGUAUUUUAAGGUUUUGCUUUACACGGGGUCUAAAGCCAAAACCCGCUAUAACUUUGGAAAAGAUCAAGGUUUAGCGAGGGAACGAGAAAAAAGAAAAGGGUAACGCCUGAAUUUGGUGAGAGAAAAGAAGAAAAAAAUUCUACCCCCAAAUUCAGGGCGUUACAGUCACCUAUCAUUUUCUUAUCAUAACAAGAGGCAUCAUGAAGAUUGCACAAGUAUGAAUUAUACAACUAGUGAUCAUGUACGAAAAAUAUCAAUUGAAAACCACCAAUUGAUACAGUUUGAUAGAUAAUCAGAUCACUAAUUGCAUAUUACACUAAGUUCUCCUCAAGUUUUAGUGCACACAUAUAUAUGAAUUCAAUUGAUACCUGUUGAGAGUACUUAUUUGCAACUUAAAGUACCAUUGGCAUAAAAGGAGUAUCAAUUGAACAUAAUCAUGCAACAUAAGAAACAUGUGCACUAUUUAAUCAAUUAAGUUCUAGACAGGAGAAUCUAUAAGCUAUGCUACUUCAGAUAUUUGUAAUCCAAAAAGAUGUGAUACAUAUUUACCAAUUUUAGAUGACGUUGGAGUAGCAUAUACAAGAGAAACUCAUUCUCUUAUGAAAUGUAUAGAAGAUACAUUUAUUGGAGCAAAGAAUCUUUGAUACCCAUCAAAAUUUGCAGUGGAAGCGAUUGUCUUUACUUGAAGAUUCUUUUCUAAUUUGAGACUACACACAUAAUAGACUUGAAAAUGAAGUUAGUCUCAAAGUUUCAAAUUAUAGACCAUUCUCCCCCUAAAUGUAUGCAUACAAGUGAUGAAUACUUGUUUAGCUUAUGCACUUGGACUUGUGAGGCCAGGGGAUUAAGUUCUACCAUUUGAACCUUGGUACAAAUAAAGUAUGAAAAUAUGAAAUUGCACCAAUUUAAGGAAUUACUCAUAAUCAAACGGUAUACUAAUAGACAUGAUAUGCAAUAUUUUAAGCCAAGAUUCAAGUGCAACCUUAUGAUGUGACUUAAGAUAUUGCAUAUACAUGCAUACACUAACUUGUAAGAGCCUAGAUACACAAAUGUAAUACAAUAGUUCAUGGAGUGACACACCUUUGUUCCAUGCCAUAUGGUCUUCAUUAUAAUCAUGAAUUUCUAUCUUAGCUUUUGAUAGGCUUGACAUUUCAAAGAGAAACUUAUCCUCUUUAAACGAUCAAGAGAAACUCAUUCUCUUCAAAGAACUACACAAAUUCACUAAAAGAAAAUGUUAGUCUUUAAGGACACAAGAUAUAGAAUGAGCUCCCCCUAAAUGUAUGCAUCAAGUACUCGAAUUACUUGUAACAUGCACUUGAUUCAAUUAAGAUUCUUAGAGGAGUUCACCAUAUAUCUUGGUCAAGGCAUAAUAUAUUUGAAACAAUUGAAUUUAUGCUAGAGAACACAUAUCGUUCCCCAAUAGAACUAAUCCAUGGGUGACAUGUGGUAAAUAUUUGAUCAUUUCCUUGGAACCACUCAUCCUCAUUUGAUGUUCUCCAAGGUGUGAGACUACACAACAUGAACUUAAAAGAAAUCAUUAGUCUCACAAGAUAUAGGUUAAACUCUCCCUCAAUUUGUGCAUGCAAGAGUACACAAAGUACACUUAUGCACAUCAAAAAUACGAGGUUAAAGGAGAUGUUUGCACUAUAUCUUGGUUUAACAUAACAUGCUUUACAUAGAUGAUGAAAAUUAAGCCAAUUGAAGUUUAAGAACUGAAAGUAUAUCAAUUGAAAUCCUAAAGGGCAAAGCAUGCUAAUAUGAACCUCAAACCUCAUAAUGACGGAUAUCAUAUAAAUAUGUCACUACAUCUCCAUUAUUUGGUUGACAAAAAGUGUAACUCCCUUCUUGAAUCACUGUGAUUUCUUUUCUCUUUAUGAUUUCAUCCAACCAGGCGAUCUUGAACUUCAUUCAUCUUGGCUUGGUUCAAUCAUACUUGAUAUGAGACCCAUUGAAACUCAAUGAUUGAAACAACCAAGACUCUUAUAUCCGUAGAUUUUGAAUCCAUCUUGAAAGCACUUGGAAAGAGCUUACUGAAACACUUAGAAAAGAGAGCAUUAGAGACACAAGGGAGGGUUUCACAAAUGAUAAUCCUUAUAUGUGGAUGGAGAAUAAAUCAUCAUUCUUGAAACCCAAAAGGAUAGAUUAAAUUCUUUUAAAUUAGUGCACACAUAUAGUUGAUGUCAAAUUUAUAUGCACUAUUGAACAUUUUAUAUUGCAAGGAAAUUAACCUAUACUAUGGUACAUCCCACUAAGGAUAGAAUACUAAAACAACUGAAGGAGAGGAAGUUUUCAUACCUUGGCCUCUUAUCAACUUCAUCUUACUUUAGUUGAAUAGUAUCCUUUAAGCUUGUGAUUUAUCCAAUUUAAAACAAGCACCAUCUCUUAACAUAGAUUUUCUAUGGAUAAACUCAACACAAGAGAUGACAUUAGUAGCACAAGCACUAGUUUCUUGUUUAGCAACCUUUUAUAUGUGGAAGACAAGCGUGUUGCUAAAAUAAAGAAACAUCAUAAUAUGGACUAAAUUUCUUUGAACCCUCAUGCACAAUAUAUUUUGAAUGACAUGGAUAAUAUGCAUGGUUAUUCAAUGAAGUCUAAAGGGAUGACUUAAUCCAUAUUAUGGUGAGUGUCUAAUAUAGAAGAAUCAAAUCCAAAUUAACUAGAUAGAGAAUACGUCACAUAAUUUUGGAUUGUUCACCAUAUGAUAAUAUUCAUUCAACUUCCAAUUAGACCUUUAUUUCAUAAUCAACAUCUGAUGUAUAUCCUCAAGUGCUUCUUUUUCCUUAGUGGCUACACAAGUCACAAAAAGAUAAGAUUUGAAAAUAAUAUGCACUUGAGAUUCAGUUGUUACCAUCCUAGCUACUAUCUCCAAAGAUGAUUUAUACAUUCAUUAUCGAGCACCCAACUUGAUCCAUUGAAGCAGUGAUCAUCAUUGUGUUGCCUUCUUGAUGAUGAACCUAGCUUGACCUUGGGUGCACCUAGCUUAUCAAGGUUAGUCGCACAAACAUUCAUAUCAUAAAGACAAGUUAUGC
This 29043-nucleotide long non-coding RNA is filed under the name Zea mays. RNAcentral's name for it is "long non-coding RNA (ZMAY_LNC000186)". The record is from RNAcentral. Lineage: Eukaryota; Viridiplantae; Streptophyta; Magnoliopsida; Poales; Poaceae.